AACGAACGCUGGCGGCAUGCCUAACACAUGCAAGUCGAACGAGACCUUCGGGUCUAGUGGCGCACGGGUGCGUAACGCGUGGGAACCUGCCCUUAGGUUCGGAAUAACUCCCCGAAAGGGGUGCUAAUACCGGAUAAUGUCUUCGGACCAAAGAUUUAUCGCCUUUGGAUGGGCCCGCGUUGGAUUAGCUAGUUGGUAGGGUAAAAGCCUACCAAGGCGACGAUCCAUAGCUGGUCUGAGAGGAUGAUCAGCCACACUGGGACUGGGACACGGCCCAGACUCCUACGGGAUGCAGCAGUGGGGAAUAGUGGACAAUGGGCGAAAGCCUGAUCCAGCAAUGCCGCGUGAGUGAUGAAGGCCUUAGGGUUGUAAAGCUCUUUUACCCGGGAUGAUAAUGACAGUACCGGGAGAAUAAGCUCCGGCUAACUCCGUG
This 433-nucleotide ribosomal RNA is filed under the name uncultured bacterium. Its description in RNAcentral is "partial 16S ribosomal RNA". It matches the Rfam family "Bacterial small subunit ribosomal RNA", at positions 29 to 507 of the family's 1533-position model. The record is from RNAcentral.